Olea europaea var. sylvestris is the source of this 962-nucleotide long non-coding RNA. RefSeq lists it as uncharacterized. Lineage: Eukaryota; Viridiplantae; Streptophyta; Magnoliopsida; Lamiales; Oleaceae. The transcript has 2 exons. The record is from RefSeq and is a predicted model, not a curated record.
UUAAAGCAUGCAACUUCUCCAUUUGUUGUGAUUUCACAAGUUUAUAAAGAGAGCCUAUUGAAAUGGCACAAGUUUGUCACCAAGUUGGGACUCUCUUCUAAUCAGUCAUGAUUGUUUUCUGCACAUUUUGAUGUAAGAAAAUUAAUCAUAUCAUCUUUGUCUCGUUCCUGAACCCUUGAGUAUAUUGGCUCUUGUGCCCUGUUUUUAUUGUUCCGUUUAUUGAAGACAAAUAUUUCUACAUCAUCAUGCACACUCAUAAAUAUUGAUUUAUGUCCUCUUACAUAUUGAUUGCAGAUUUUACCUGAGAAAUAUAGCUACUAUAGAAGGUUUGAUCCGACUGCAAAUCAUGCCACAGACUGUGUGAUCUGCAUGACUGCCAUUGAGCUAAGCCAUCGCUCAAAUGAUUGCAUGGUGACGCCAUGUGAUCAUUUCUUUCACUCCAGUUGUUUACAAAGAUGGAUGGACAUAAAAAUGGAGUGCCCAACUUGCCGCCGUCCUCUUCCUCCAUCCUAGGAGAUCGAUCGUUCGACUCUUAUUCAGAAUAGCGCCGUGGAUCAAUUGACACCAACCUGUUAAUAGUGGUGUAGUGGCUUCAAAGAAUUUAGAUUAUUCCAUCAUUUAAAGACUUAAAACGCAGAUCCAGCCUUUCAUUUCUGAAUCUUCAAUGGUUUUUCUUGUUCGGCUAUAACCCCAAAGGUUGCCUGAACAUGUAUAGACAAGAGCUGAUACGAGAGUGGCAGUCCUCGUGUUGUAUAUUCUGGUUUGUGUAGUAGAAAUUCGAUGAAUUUUCGUCACUAUGUACUGUAUUUACAUGCCAAUUGUAGAUUUACUUAGAAAAUAGCCCAUCCGUGUGCAUUCUGAUAGGUUAUGGACUUGCACUACCUUUUAAACAGUUUCUUUCAUGCAAUAACACAAGCAAAGAACCAAUUUUAAACGAGAACAUGUUUGGCAUAUAGAGGGGA